RNAcentral lists this long non-coding RNA (2410 nucleotides) under Sus scrofa (pig). Its description in RNAcentral is "lncRNA (ENSSSCG00030048948.1)". The record is from RNAcentral. Lineage: Eukaryota; Metazoa; Chordata; Mammalia; Artiodactyla; Suidae.
CUGUCAGUGGAAUGAGAGGCUCAUGUCCACCGCAGGGUGACAGCCGGCUCUGAGGGCUGUGGGCCUGUCCUUAGAGAGGCUUCUCAUUUCCUCUUUCGCUGCUCUGCCCCCACCCCAGUCUCCUCCAUCAGGUGGAGCAGGUGUCUCAUUCCGUGGCUGGACCCAGGGGGGUCAGGGCCCUCGGACAUGACGUCCUGCAAAGUAGAGAUGUUUCAUGGAUCUGCGUUGUUUUUAAUUAAGAAUCAUUUUCAGAACAUGCCUCUGUGUGCACACACGAAAAGAUCUAGGAAGGCCUUCUCACCAGGCCUGACGUCUCGGGGUGGGGUUGGGCAGGACGUAAUGGACAGAGAGCUGUGUUUUACCUUGGAUCAGUCUCUCAUUGAUUUUCCUUCUUUUGAUUUUUUGGUAACCAUGGAUUACUUUUGUCGAUACGUACGUGCACAGUGAUGAUGUCAUCGGUAACACCCUCUGGAAGGAGACUCGGUCAGGAAUGGUUCUGUGGGGAACUGGCAUGGGGGGCGGGUGUCAGAGGCUGAGGCUGGGAGCAUUCCCUGUGUACCCUUCUCCUUGGCCUGAAGCAGCUGGCAGCCCCUGCUCGGGCUGGAGCCGUGGGGCUGGGGACCGUGAAGGUACUUGUGCUCCGGGAAGGGGGCUGGGUGCCCCUGUAACUGUGCACAUCCACACAGAAGGCCCGCCUUUUGCACGGAUAGCAGGUUUUCUUUCAGUGUCAUUCGGAAUUUGUUCCUUUCCAAGAUCUUUAUUUGUUUGUUUUUAAAAACUAGACUUUGUUUUUUUGGAGCAAUUUUAAGUCCCAAAAAGAUUGAGUGGAGGGUACAGAGAUUUCCCAUCUGCUCCCUGCCCCUGCCCCCGAGCAGCGCCUCCCUCACUGUGGACGCCCCCUGCCAGGGGGGUGCCCUUGUUACAGUCAUUGGGGUUGACUGUCGGUGUUGUACAUGCUGUGCAUUUGGACAGGUGUCCCCCCCGUGGUGCUGCAGCGAGUGGACUCACGGCCCUAAGAUUCCUCUGUGCUCCCCUCUGCACCCCUCCCUCACCGCUCACCUCUGGCCCCCACUGAUUUUUUUCACUGUCUGCACAGGCUCGCCUUUUCCAGAAUGUCGUAUGGCUGGAAUCACAGCUACAGUUAGGAGCCUUUGCGCAUUGGCUUCUUUUACUUAGAGAUACGGAUGUAGAUUUCCUCCCUGUCUUUUCACGGCUUCCCAACUUACUUCGUUUUAGCACCAGAUAGUACCCCGAGGUCUGGAUGGACCACAGGGUAUGUAUCCAUUCACCUGCUGAAGGGUAUUUUGGUUGCUUCCAAGUUUCGACAGUUAAGUAUGCGACUGCCGUAAACCCAUUUCUGCUGGGUUUUGUGUAGACGUAGGUUUUCACCUCAUUUGUGUCAACACUCAAGGGCACAGUGGCUGGAUGCUACGCCGAGAAUAUGUUCAACUCUGUCUUCGGAAGUACCUCACUGUCUCUGGAAAUGGCUGAGCCAUGUUGCCUUCCUUCCAGCCGUGAGUGAGGGUCCCGUGGCUGCACCACCUUGGCAGCAUUUGGUGUUGCCGGUGUUGCGGAUUGUAGUCCUUCUCAUAGCAUUUUAGUGGUCUCUUCUUGAUUUACCAAGAUUUGUUUUUAAUUGUAACUUUGAAAUAAGCACGUUUGGGAUGUCCUGUUGUGGUGUAGCAGAAAUGAACCCGCGUGGUAACUUCGAGGGUGCGGGUUUGAUCCCUGGCUUGAUCCCUGGCCUCGCCUAGCGGGUUGGGGAUCUGGCGUUGCCAUGAGCUGGGGUUGCCGCGGCUCAGAUCUGUCAUUGCUGUUUUUGGCUGUGGCACAGGCUGGCAGCUGCAGCUCUGAUUCAGCCCCUAGCCUGAGAACUUCUGUAUGCCGCUGGUGCAGCCCUAAAAAGCAUAAUAAUAAUAAUAAUAAACACAUUUAUAUGAAAAUCCGAGGUAAAUGGAAAAAACUUAUUUACCUCCAAGUUAAGCAUGUCUCUGAGGAGUCUGGCAGUUUGGUAGUAACUGAAGCUAGAAUAUUCCACUGGUAACAUUUUACCGUAACUACUGGCCAUCAGGAGAGACCAGAGACUAAGGCCAUGGACUCUCAGUUCAUGUGCUUUAUGUUCGCGAGGCCAAGUGAUUUUAAACUAUGGGUCUGUUGAGGGUUAUACAAUGACAGUAACUGUUGAAGUGCUGAAUGGGCACUAGGAUGAUGGGUUUCUGAGUGGAAACAGUGGGUUUCUCAUGCUGUCCACAACACCUCAUCGCACGUGUACUGCGCUUGCUCGACUGAAUCUAAGCGUCAUGAUUAGACACUCCCUGUGGUGUGGGCACUGACACUGCAUCAUAGGGACAGUUGCUGGGUCCAGAGACGUUGCUCUUGACUGUUUGCCAUGGGACGCAUGACUUUUAUC